This 229-nucleotide unclassified non-coding RNA is filed under the name plant metagenome. RNAcentral describes it as "partial contains small subunit ribosomal RNA, internal transcribed spacer 1, and 5.8S ribosomal RNA". The record is from RNAcentral.
UCUCCGUAGGUGAACCUGCGGAGGGAUCAUUACAGAGUUUUUGCCCGCAAGGGUAGAUCUCCCACCCUUUGUUUUUCCUUCUCUGUUGUUUUGGCGGGGCGUCCGGCCUCGGUCAGGCCACCGGCUCCGGCUGGUUCGCGCCAGCCAGAGGACCCCAAACCCUAAAGGUCAGUUCCGUCUGAGUACUUUAUAAUAGUUAAAACUUUCAACAACGGAUCUCUUGGUUCUG